UACGAAGGGGGCUAGCGUUGCUCGGAAUUACUGGGCGUAAAGGGCGCGUAGGCGGCUUGGUAAGUCGGGGGUGAAAGUCAGCGGCUCAACCGCUGGACUGCCUUCGAGACUGCCUGGCUUGAGCAUGGUAGAGGCUGGCGGAAUUCCCGGUGUAGCGGUGGAAUGCGUAGAGAUCGGGAAGAACAUCGGUGGCGAAGGCGGCCAGCUGGGCCAUUGCUGACGCUGAGGCACGAAAGCGUGGGGAGCAAACAGG
Molecule: ribosomal RNA, 253 nt
Filed under: uncultured bacterium
Lineage: Bacteria
Description: partial 16S ribosomal RNA
Rfam family: Bacterial small subunit ribosomal RNA
Source: RNAcentral